Molecule: non-coding RNA, 202 nt
Organism: Drosophila melanogaster (fruit fly)
Lineage: Eukaryota; Metazoa; Arthropoda; Insecta; Diptera; Drosophilidae
Source: Ensembl
UAGAGGACCUACAAACAUAUUGUAUUACAACACGAUGGAGAUGAAAAAAAAGAAGUAUAAACAACAAAAAUUAUUAAUUCUAAGUAGACAAAAGAUAGAAGUGGACAAAGAUAAAGGAGAAGGAGGAGCAGAUGAAGCGCAAAGCAAACCAAAUAAAAUUAGACUACGACUAAAAGGCAAACGAGAAGAGAACAGAAGAGAU